UACGUAGGGGGCAAGCGUUGUCCGGAAUCAUUGGGCGUAAAGAGCGUGUAGGCGGUUUGGUAAGUCCGCUGUGAAAGUCCAGGGCUCAACCCUGGAAAGCCGGUGGAUACUGCCAAACUCGAGUGCGGGAAAGGCGAGUGGAAUUCCUGGUGUAGCGGUGAAAUGCGCAGAUAUCAGGAGGAACACCAAUUGCGAAGGCAGCUCGCUGGAACGUAACUGACGCUGAGGAGCGAAAGCGUGGGGAGCGAACAGG
This 253-nucleotide ribosomal RNA is filed under the name uncultured bacterium. RNAcentral's name for it is "partial 16S ribosomal RNA". It matches the Rfam family "Bacterial small subunit ribosomal RNA", at positions 524 to 776 of the family's 1533-position model. The record is from RNAcentral.